CUUUGAGUUUGUCUUACAUAUAGUUUUCCUUUUGCAAUUACCUUUCUUUGCUUAUACCUUUUCUUGUUUGUCUUUAUUGUUUCAUUGGUUUUGUGGUGGUUGCCUUUGAGAUUGGUGUGCUUGCUUUGACAUCUUUCAUUUGAGGAUUCCAAGGCCUCAAGAUCAGAUUGGUGCAAGGACAUUAUUUCUUUGAGAGUGACCUAUUUUUCUGCCUCAAUUCACUUCGGCAUUUUUGCUUAAAACACUCACUGUUUUUGCUAAUUUUUGUUUCUUAACUUGUUUGUUG
RNAcentral lists this long non-coding RNA (286 nucleotides) under Phaseolus vulgaris (common bean). RNAcentral describes it as "long non-coding RNA (PVUL_LNC002995)". The record is from RNAcentral. Lineage: Eukaryota; Viridiplantae; Streptophyta; Magnoliopsida; Fabales; Fabaceae.